This 460-nucleotide ribosomal RNA is filed under the name uncultured bacterium. RNAcentral's name for it is "partial 16S ribosomal RNA". It matches the Rfam family "Bacterial small subunit ribosomal RNA", at positions 338 to 795 of the family's 1533-position model. The record is from RNAcentral.
CCUACGGGAGGCAGCAGUGAGGAAUAUUGGUCAAUGGACGAGAGUCUGAACCAGCCAAGUAGCGUGAAGGAUGACUGCCCUAUGGGUUGUAAACUUCUUUUAUAUGGGAAUAAAAUGUUCCACGUGUGGGAUUUUGUAUGUAUCAUAUGAAUAAGGAUCGGCUAACUCCGUGCCAGCAGCCGCGGUAAUACGGAGGAUCCGAGUGUUAUCCGGAUUUAUUGGGUUUCAAGGGAGAGUAGGUGGAUUGUUAAGUCAGUUGUGAAAGUUUGCGGCUCAACCGUAAAAUUGCAGUUGAAACUGGCAGUCUGGAGUACAGUAGAGGUGGGCGGAAUUCGUGGUGUAGCGGUGAAAUGCUUAGAUAUCACGAAGAACUCCGAUUGCGAAGGCAGCUCACUGGACUGCAACUGACACUGAGGCUCGAAAGUGUGGGUAUCAAACAGGAGUAGAUACCCCAGUAGUC